RNAcentral lists this ribosomal RNA (250 nucleotides) under uncultured prokaryote. RNAcentral describes it as "partial 16S ribosomal RNA". It matches the Rfam family "Bacterial small subunit ribosomal RNA", at positions 524 to 773 of the family's 1533-position model. The record is from RNAcentral.
UACGUAGGGGGCAAGCGUUAUCCGGAUUUACUGGGUGUAAAGGGAGCGCAGACGGAAGAUCAAGUCUGAUGUGAAAUGUUGGGGCUCAACCCCGAAGCUGCAUUGGAAACUGGUCAUCUAGAGUGCAGGAGAGGUAAGUGGAAUUCCUAGUGUAGCGGUGAAAUGCGUAGAUAUUAGGAGGAACACCGGUGGCGAAGGCGGCUUACUGGACUGUAACUGACGUUGAGGCUCGAAAGCGUGGGGAGCGAAC